Molecule: ribosomal RNA, 333 nt
Filed under: uncultured Rhodocyclaceae bacterium
Lineage: Bacteria; Pseudomonadati; Pseudomonadota; Betaproteobacteria; Rhodocyclales; Rhodocyclaceae
Description: bacterial SSU rRNA
Rfam family: Bacterial small subunit ribosomal RNA
Source: RNAcentral
CUGUCGUCAGCUCGUGUCGUGAGAUGUUGGGUUAAGUCCCGCAACGAGCCGCAACCCUUGUCGUAUGUUGCCAGCACGUUAUGGUGGGAACUCAUGCGAGACUGCCGGUGUCAAACCGGAGGAAGGUGGGGAUGACGUCAAGUCCUCAUGGCCCUUAUGGUAGGGCUUCACACGUCAUACAAUGGUCGGUACAGAGGGUUGCCAACCCGCGAGGGGGAGCUAAUCCACAAAGCCGAUCGCAGUCCGGAUCGCAGUCUGCAACUCGACUGCGUGAAGUCGGAAUCGCUAGUAAUCGUGGAUCAGCAUGUCACGGUGAAUACGUUCCCGGGUCUU